GUAAUUUGCUCUUGAUGGAUCCUUUGGGACUCACAGCGGGGGCAGAUGAUGGUUCAGUGGUUCAGAUGCUAUGCCUGCGAGCAUGCGCAGAGGGAGAUCGUUAUCCCAAACAAACGUAGUUGCACGCCACUAACGAAGGGCCCGACGAGAGGAUUUUGUAAACCAGCUUGCCAACCCGAAUUUUGUACCAAUCCACUGUCAACAGUACACAAUGCCAUGUGGGCCAUAUGUAUUUGGACAUGCAUCAUGUGAGAAAUAGUUAAGCUACUCGCCAGAGGCCACCGACCUACUUAACAAUGGACUCCCAUGUGACCCACGGAAAUCAGCAAACCACAUGCAUUGUUCCUGUACACUGUACAUGGUAUUCUGACAUGAUAAUUGAC
RNAcentral lists this long non-coding RNA (383 nucleotides) under Elaeis guineensis (African oil palm). RNAcentral's name for it is "long non-coding RNA (EGUI_LNC026928)". Lineage: Eukaryota; Viridiplantae; Streptophyta; Magnoliopsida; Arecales; Arecaceae. The record is from RNAcentral.